Non-coding RNA from Pelobates cultripes (western spadefoot toad), 90 nucleotides. The record is from the annotation of a GenBank genome assembly. NCBI's taxonomy places the organism in Eukaryota, Metazoa, Chordata, Amphibia, Anura, Pelobatidae.
GUGUGUGUGUGUGUUUGUGUGUGUGGAUAUAUCUAUAUAUAUAUAUAUAUAUAUAUAUAUAUAUAGAUAUAUCCACACACACACACGCGG